AGAGUUUGAUCAUGGCUCAGAUUGAACGCUGGCGGCAGGCCUAACACAUGCAAGUCGAGCGGUAGCACAGAGAGCUUGCUCUCGGGUGACGAGCGGCGGACGGGUGAGUAAUGUCUGGGAAACUGCCUGAUGGAGGGGGAUAACUACUGGAAACGGUAGCUAAUACCGCAUAACGUCGCAAGACCAAAGUGGGGGACCUUCGGGCCUCAUGCCAUCAGAUGUGCCCAGAUGGGAUUAGCUAGUAGGUGGGGUAACGGCUCACCUAGGCGACGAUCCCUAGCUGGUCUGAGAGGAUGACCAGCCACACUGGAACUGAGACACGGUCCAGACUCCUACGGGAGGCAGCAGUGGGGAAUAUUGCACAAUGGGCGCAAGCCUGAUGCAGCCAUGCCGCGUGUGUGAAGAAGGCCUUCGGGUUGUAAAGCACUUUCAGCGGGGAGGAAGGCGUUAAGGUUAAUAACCUCAUCGAUUGACGUUACCCGCAGAAGAAGCACCGGCUAACUCCGUGCCAGCAGCCGCGGUAAUACGGAGGGUGCAAGCGUUAAUCGGAAUUACUGGGCGUAAAGCGCACGCAGGCGGUCUGUCAAGUCGGAUGUGAAAUCCCCGGGCUUAACCUGGGAACUGCAUUCGAAACUGGCAGGCUAGAGUCUUGUAGAGGGGGGUAGAAUUCCAGGUGUAGCGGUGAAAUGCGUAGAGAUCUGGAGGAAUACCGGUGGCGAAGGCGGCCCCCUGGACAAAGACUGACGCUCAGGUGCGAAAGCGUGGGGAGCAAACAGGAUUAGAUACCCUGGUAGUCCACGCCGUAAACGAUGUCGAUUUGGAGGUUGUGCCCUUGAGGCGUGGCUUCCGGAGCUAACGCGUUAAAUCGACCGCCUGGGGAGUACGGCCGCAAGGUUAAAACUCAAAUGAAUUGACGGGGGCCCGCACAAGCGGUGGAGCAUGUGGUUUAAUUCGAUGCAACGCGAAGAACCUUACCUGGUCUUGACAUCCACAGAACUUUCCAGAGAUGGAUUGGUGCCUUCGGGAACUGUGAGACAGGUGCUGCAUGGCUGUCGUCAGCUCGUGUUGUGAAAUGUUGGGUUAAGUCCCGCAACGAGCGCAACCCUUAUCCUUUGUUGCCAGCGGUCCGGCCGGGAACUCAAAGGAGACUGCCAGUGAUAAACUGGAGGAAGGUGGGGAUGACGUCAAGUCAUCAUGGCCCUUACGACCAGGGCUACACACGUGCUACAAUGGCAUAUACAAAGAGAAGCGACCUCGCGAGAGCAAGCGGACCUCAUAAAGUAUGUCGUAGUCCGGAUUGGAGUCUGCAACUCGACUCCAUGAAGUCGGAAUCGCUAGUAAUCGUAGAUCAGAAUGCUACGGUGAAUACGUUCCCGGGCCUUGUACACACCGCCCGUCACACCAUGGGAGUGGGUUGCAAAAGAAGUAGGUAGCUUAACCUUCGGGAGGGCGCUUACCACUUUGUGAUUCAUGACUGGGGUGAAGUCGUAACAAGGUAACCGUAGGGGAACCUGCGGUUGGAUCACCU
RNAcentral lists this ribosomal RNA (1528 nucleotides) under Klebsiella oxytoca. Its description in RNAcentral is "bacterial SSU rRNA". It matches the Rfam family "Bacterial small subunit ribosomal RNA". The record is from RNAcentral. RNAcentral also lists the same sequence under 1 other name. Lineage: Bacteria; Pseudomonadati; Pseudomonadota; Gammaproteobacteria; Enterobacterales; Enterobacteriaceae.